RNAcentral lists this long non-coding RNA (274 nucleotides) under Columba livia (rock pigeon). RNAcentral's name for it is "partial uncharacterized LOC102085072". The record is from RNAcentral. Lineage: Eukaryota; Metazoa; Chordata; Aves; Columbiformes; Columbidae.
GCACUGUUCCAACGAGAGGCUGAACUCCAGGGCUGUACUCUUCAGCAGCUAAAGGAAGACCCCACAUUCACCAGAUACUUUUGAAAAUGCUGAAGAUAUUGUCCAGAGUUGUUCAUAAAAUGACUAAAACUCUUUCUAUCAAUUUGGAGUCAAAAAAGAAAGUUACUUGCCUUUGCCCCUGCAAUGCUUCAUCUGAGUCCUGCUUAAACACCUGUAAAAGAUUGCCAUAUCUAUCUUGAUAAAAUUGGACCAUUUCUAAUUGUUACUCAGUGAC